CGCCCUGUAUGGCAACAUUCAGGGUGAUCGGGCAGGAGUCAGCAGAGGCCAUAGUAGGCGAGGACGUUACCAUAAGGUGGUAUGGUAAUUGGAAACGAGCCCGGUGAAUAGAAAAGCCGGGAUGGUCUCACCCCGCUGAAGGGC
Desulfovibrio sp. S3730MH75 is the source of this 144-nucleotide non-coding RNA. The record is from Rfam. Lineage: Bacteria; Pseudomonadati; Thermodesulfobacteriota; Desulfovibrionia; Desulfovibrionales; Desulfovibrionaceae.